CCGUAGAGGUUGAUCCUGGCUCAGGAUGAGCGCUGGCGGCGUGCCUAACACAUGCAAGUCGAGCGGGAAUCAGAUGAUUGAAACUUCGGUAGAUAGAUUCUGAGGAGAGCGGCGGACGGGUGAGUAACGCGUAGGCAACCUGCCCCAUUCACAGGGAUAGCCACUGGAAACGGUGAUUAAAACCUGAUGACACCGAGGAUUCACGUGUAACUUCGGUCAAAGAUUUAUCGGAAUGGGAUGGGCCUGCGUCUGAUUAGAUAGUUGGUGAGGUAACGGCCCACCAAGUCAACGAUCAGUAGCCGACCUGAGAGGGUGAUCGGCCACAUUGGAACUGAGACACGGUCCAAACUCCUACGGGAGGCAGCAGUGGGGAAUAUUGCACAAUGGGGGAAACCCUGAUGCAGCAACGCCGCGUGAAGGAUGAAGGUCUUCGGAUUGUAAACUUCUGUCCUAGGGGAAGAUAAUGACGGUACCCUUGGAGGAAGCCCCGGCUAACUACGUGCCAGCAGCCGCGGUAAUACGUAGGGGGCAAGCGUUAUCCGGAAUUAUUGGGCGUAAAGAGUGCGUAGGUGGUUACCUAAGCAGGGGGUGAAAGGCACUGGCUUAACCAAUGUCAGCCCCCUGAACUGGGCUACUUGAGUGCAGGAGAGGAAAGUGGAAUUCCUAGUGUAGCGGUGAAAUGCGUAGAUAUUAGGAGGAACACCAGUGGCGAAGGCGACUUUCUGGACUGUUACUGACACUGAGGCACGAAAGUGUGGGGAACAAACAGGAUUAGAUACCCUGGUAGUCCACACCGUAAACGAUGAGCACUAGGUGUCGGGUGGUCAGACCAUUCUGUGCCGGGAGUUAACACAAUAAGUAAUCCACCUGGGGAGUACGGCCGCAAGGUUGAAACUCAAAGGAAUUGACGGGGGCCCGCACAAGCAGUGGAGUAUGUGGUUUAAUUCGAAGCUACGCGGAAAACCUUACCAGGUCUUGACAUCUAACUAACGAAUCAGAGAUGAAUUAGGUGCCCUUCGGGGAAAGUUAAGACAGGUGGUGCAUGGUUGUCGUCAGCUCGUGUCGUGAGAUGUUGGGUUAAGUCCCGCAACGAGCGCAACCCUUGUUGUCAGUUGCUACGAAAGAGCACUCUGGCAAGACUGCCGUUGACAAAACGGAGGAAGGUGGGGAUGACGUCAAAUCAUCAUGCCCUUUAUGACCUGGGCCACACACGUACUACAAUAGCGGUAAACAAAGAGCAGCGACACUGUGAAGUGAAGCAAAUCUCUAAAAGCCGUCUCAGUUCAGACUGCAGGCUGCAACUCGCCUGCACGAAGUCGGAAUUGCUAGUAAUCGUGGAUCAGCAUGCCACGGUGAAUACGUAACCGGGCCUUGUACACACCGCCCGUCA
Molecule: ribosomal RNA, 1390 nt
Filed under: uncultured bacterium
Lineage: Bacteria
Description: partial 16S ribosomal RNA
Rfam family: Bacterial small subunit ribosomal RNA
Source: RNAcentral